GACGAACGCUGGCGGCGUGCUUAACACAUGCAAGUCGAACGGAAAGGCCUGCUUUCCCUUGUGGAUUGCGGGUACUCGAGUGGCGAACGGGUGAGUAACACGUGAGUGAUCUGCCCCCAACUUGGGUAUAAGCCUGGGAAACUGGGUCUAAUUCCCGAUAGGACUGCAGGGUGGUGCCUGUGGUGGAAAACGAUUUUCUAGUGGUUGGGGAUGAGCUCGCGGCCUAUCAGCUUGUUGGUGGGGUAAUGGCCUACCAAGGCGGCGACGGGUAGCCGGCCUGAGAGGGCGGACGGCCACAUUGGGACUGAGAUACGGCCCAGACUCCUACGGGAGGCAGCAGUGGGGAAUAUUGCACAAUGGGCGGAAGCCUGAUGCAGCGACGCCGCGUGGGGGAUGACGGCCUUCGGGUUGUAAACUCCUUUCGACCGCGAGGAAGCCACCUGGUUGGAAGGGUGGUGACGGUAGUGGUAGAAGAAGCACCGGCUAACUACGUG
RNAcentral lists this ribosomal RNA (494 nucleotides) under uncultured bacterium. RNAcentral describes it as "partial 16S ribosomal RNA". It matches the Rfam family "Bacterial small subunit ribosomal RNA", at positions 28 to 507 of the family's 1533-position model. The record is from RNAcentral.